AGUCACUCUCAGAGGAAAGGGAGGUCUGAGUAGAGAUUGCACUUGCUUCCUGAGAAGAGGGAGGUUCUUUUUAGGAACUGGUAGGCCUAGGAAGAAAAGGGGAACCAGCAGUAGAAAGAAGCCCAGGGUUAUACCAGUGAGGCUAUAAAGAGAAAUGGCUUAGACUGCUGAGUUGAGGGAACCUAGGCUGGAACCUGGAGAAGAUGACAGGUCUGAGUUCCCUGAUCAGUCACUGGGUGAAGGACACAGAGGCAGUGAAUAGGAAGACUGUGUAGGACUAUUGAGGUGCUAAACCUUCCUGGAAGGGGGGGAACAUGGACAGUAACAUGGCUGAAAGGCUGAGCCAUGAAGAGGACAUGGGGGUUCCUGAGGCUGUGAGAGGAGCUGCAGGCAGAGUGAUGGUGUGCAAAUCAGAUGGGAGGGAUCUCCAUCUUGAGGUAAUCUCCAGUAUACCAGGAGGAGGUACCAGUCUGAUGGUGAGUGGUGCACCCUGUGACAGUGUCAUAAAUUUGAAUUGCUACAGAUUUUAUAAAAUUAAUGUUGGGUAAACUUUUCAAAAACCUAAAAAUUGGAUCAACCUUGCUUCAUCACACAGGUUUUAUGAAAAAUUCCUCACCCUGUGUGAGGUAGGUAGGUUGGUUGAUCUAACCCCUAGUGUAGAUGCAGCUAAAUUGACAAGAUUUACUCCACUGAGCUAGCUACUGCCUCUUGGGGUGGAGUAGAUUCCCUACAGUGCAGGAAGAAUCCUUCUGUUGUUGUUAUGCUACAAAGAUGUAGCUGAAGUGCUGCUGUAUGCUUGUAGUGUACACUUAGUCUUUGUCACACUGAAGAUCACUGGGACAUAGGCUCCCAAGUGCCUAGCUGCUUUUGAUCUUGCUCAAAUACUUUUUCCUAAUAGAGCUGAACAAUGUUAUUUAAAGGCUUUUCUACAUUUUUUUUUAGUUGCUAAGAGGCAAAGGUAAAAUAAGGAACGCAACUCCUUGUGAAGCUCAUGCAGUCCAUUCUAGACUAUAAAUAGAUGAUAUCCCUAUGGAAAGCUAUGAAUAUUCUCUUCAGCAGAGUACAUCCUGACUUUGUGCCUAAGAGGAUGUCAAACAAAGUCGUUGGGGUUUUUUCCAUAAACAUGAAACUGUGACAUAAUUGUGUACUCUUAAUAUGUCAACUAUUUGGCAAGACUUGGAAGUAGCAAACAUUUUGAUCACUUAAUUGACUUGCUGUUAGCAUAGUUGGCAAGUAGAGUCCUGAUAAACUACAAGUUAAACUAAAAAGGAAAGCAGCAAACUAUUGAAUA
This is a non-coding RNA of Chelonoidis abingdonii (Abingdon island giant tortoise), 1291 nucleotides long. The record is from RefSeq and is a predicted model, not a curated record. Lineage: Eukaryota; Metazoa; Chordata; Testudines; Testudinidae.